This 483-nucleotide ribosomal RNA is filed under the name uncultured bacterium. RNAcentral describes it as "partial 16S ribosomal RNA". It matches the Rfam family "Bacterial small subunit ribosomal RNA", at positions 28 to 523 of the family's 1533-position model. The record is from RNAcentral.
GACGAACGCUGGCGGCGUGCCUAACACAUGCAAGUCGAACGAGGUCCAGGGGAGCUUGCUCCCUGACGACCUAGUGGCGAACGGGUGAGUAACACGUGAGAAACCUGCCUCGGAGUGGGGAAUAACUCGGGGAAACUCGAGCUAAUACCGCAUACCUUCACAUGAUCGCAUGGUCGAGUGAAGAAAGAAUUUCGCUCUGAGAGGGUCUCGCGGCCUAUCAGCUUGUUGGUGGGGUAACGGCCUACCAAGGCAACGACGGGUAGCUGGUUUGAGAGAACGAUCAGCCACACUGGGACUGAGACACGGCCCAGACUCCUACGGGAGGCAGCAGUGGGGAAUCUUGCGCAAUGGGCGAAAGCCUGACGCAGCAACGCCGCGUGCGGGAUGACGGCCUUCGUGGUUGUAAACCGCUUUCAGCAGGGACGAAAAUGACGGUACCUGCAGAAGAAGCCCCGGCUAACUACGUGCCAGCAGCCGCCGUAA